Molecule: ribosomal RNA, 459 nt
Filed under: uncultured bacterium
Lineage: Bacteria
Description: partial 16S ribosomal RNA
Rfam family: Bacterial small subunit ribosomal RNA
Source: RNAcentral
CCUACGGGUGGCAGCAGUGAGGAAUAUUGGUCAAUGGGCGCGAGCCUGAACCAGCCAAGCCGCGUGAGGGAAGACGGUCCUAUGGUUUGUAAACCUCUUUUGUCGGGGAGCUAAAGACGCCACGCGUGGCGUUCCGAGAGUACCCGAAGAAAAAGCAUCGGCUAACGCCGUGCCAGCAGCCGCGGUAAUACGGAGGAGGCGAGCGUUAUCCGGAUUUAUGGGGGUUAAAGGGUGCGCAGGCGGAAGAUCAAGUAAGCGUGAAAACCGAUAGGUUAAACAUCUUCUAGCAGUUGAAACUGGUUUUCUAGAGUGUGGGAGAGGUAUGCGGAAUGUGUGGUGUAGGGGUAAAAUGCGUAGAUAUCAAGCAGAAUUCCGAUUGCGAAGGCGGCCUACCGGCGCUCAACUGACGCUCAUGCGCGAAAGUGUGGGUAGCGAACAGGAUUAGAUACCCGGGUAGUC